Molecule: ribosomal RNA, 541 nt
Filed under: uncultured bacterium
Lineage: Bacteria
Description: bacterial SSU rRNA
Rfam family: Bacterial small subunit ribosomal RNA
Source: RNAcentral
GAGGCAGCAGUGGGGAAUUUUGGACAAUGGGCGAAAGCCUGAUCCAGCAAUGCCGCGUGUGUGAAGAAGGCCUUCGGGUUGUAAAGCACUUUUGUCCGGAAAGAAAUCCUUGGCUCUAAUACAGUCGGGGGAUGACGGUACCGGAAGAAUAAGCACCGGCUAACUACGUGCCAGCAGCCGCGGUAAUACGUAGGGUGCGAGCGUUAAUCGGAAUUACUGGGCGUAAAGCGUGCGCAGGCGGUCUGUUAAGACAGAUGUGAAAUCCCCGGGCUCAACCUGGGAACUGCAUUUGUGACUGGCAGGCUAGAGUAUGGCAGAGGGGGGUAGAAUUCCACGUGUAGCAGUGAAAUGCGUAGAGAUGUGGAGGAAUACCGAUGGCGAAGGCAGCCCCCUGGGCCAAUACUGACGCUCAUGCACGAAAGCGAGGGGAGCAAACAGGAUUAGAUACCCUGGUAGUCCACGCCCUAAACGAUGUCAACUAGUUGUUGGGGAUUCAUUUCCUUAGUAACGUAGCUAACGCGUGAAGUUGACCGCCUGGGGA